CUAUUUUAUAAUACAUUUUUGAUAUCGCUUUAAACUUGAGCUUUUACUGAUCUAAUGCUGAAAAUUGUGAAUGAGAAAUAAUUUCUACUUAAAUUCCAAGUUUUUAUCAUCAAUAAACUCAGGGAAAUAAAUCAUCAAAAGCUAUCACCCAGUAGAUGACGCUACUCUUAUCAUUUUUUCGGUUUUUAUCAAGCGACCGAAAAAUCAACUUUAAAAAUUUAAUUCUUUAUAUCUUAUGAUUCUCAUUAACUGACUGUUGUAUUUUUCAAAUGUUGUUUAGAGUUGAAUAAUUGGUGCCUGAGUUUCUGCAAACAAAUUAUCGACCAAAAUCUUGUACAAAUAGCUAAAAGACUUGUGUUUUGAUUUAGAUACCAGCCAUUAAUUUGACUCUUAAUCGACCUACAGGUUGGAAAAUGACCUUUUCAGUAAUGAAUCAAUCUGGAAAGGAAAGUUGAUGCCUGGUGCGAGAAAUUUGCUAUUUAAUAGAUUGGAAAUUCAAGUCCUCUACUCACAGCAAUCUCCUUUGGAUGCACUCAAAGUCAUUAAUAGUCGAUAUUUCUUGGCUAAUUCGGUGUACUCACACUUGCUGCUUCAUAUUGAACGUGUUUGCCUAUUUUUUGAUGAAUAUUUCAAAUUUUAGUCGAGGGUUACUCCUGAUGAAAUUAGAGGAAAGAGUGUAUGGCGUUAUAUCCACAAUUGGCUGAAAAUUGGCAAGAAUCUUGAUUCAAGAUUUUAUAUCAAAUGACAUCUAAAUUGUCACCUGAUUUCCUGACCAUCGACCUUUAAUCGUUCAUUUGAUGACGAACAUGGUUAAAUUAGCUUAACAGAUGAUGACUAAAAUACUGUUAAAGAUUACCUCUUCUUAAUCUGGUCCACUAAUCAAAAUCUGACAAAGACAGAAGUUUUAAAUGUAGAUUCAAGGUUUUAUGGUCAAUUAACCGAACCAGAUUAACAGAAUUAUUAAUGUUCAGAUCAUAUAUCAUUAAUAAGAUUGAUUAACAAGCUGAUUGUCUUGGCCGAUUGCUGAUGUUGCACUUAUAAAGUCAAAAAAUGCACCGAUUGCCUGUUCAUUGCCAUUCAUUCAGUUUAUCUGAUUAAGGCUUGAGCUUCUCAUUUCAUCUUAAAAUACGAGUUAUUAAACACCAAUCAAAGAGUAAUAGAGAGUAGUUACAACUCUUUGACACUAAUCAGCUAACUAAUUGAUUAAAAGUUUCAAUUACAGUCGAUAAAGGUAAACAAUAGUAACCUCAUCAUUCACCAAAAUAGAGUAAACUCAAUGUCAAACUAAAUCCAUGACUGGGAAACAUCACUCAUGUGGAUAUCAACAUUUGGUUUUUCAAGUCUAUUCAGAAUAUUCAAAACUAUAAUUAUUAACCCGAUUAAGCCCAAGUAAUUCAAGUUAACCCAAGACAAAGCCAAGGAUUUCAGUGUUACUAAAGUGUUGUAAAGAAAGUAAAAAGCAAAGAUGGAUUUGAUAUAAUUUGGAUUUUAUUAACGAUCUUCAAAACAUUGAGAUUCAAAGAUUCAAAUUGUUUGACAAUUGAAAGGAAAGUUGCAUUAUUUUUCGUGGUUGGUGAUUUUGGUUUCUUAUUUAUCGUUGGCAUCACAUAUUUAUACAUUUAGUUUUUUUAUGAAUAAUAUAA
Tetranychus urticae (two-spotted spider mite) is the source of this 1643-nucleotide long non-coding RNA. RefSeq lists it as uncharacterized. The record is from RefSeq and is a predicted model, not a curated record. NCBI's taxonomy places the organism in Eukaryota, Metazoa, Arthropoda, Arachnida, Trombidiformes, Tetranychidae.